UACGGGGGGGGGCAAGCGUUGUUCGGAAUUACUGGGCGUAAAGGGCGCGUAGGCGGAUUUUUAAGUCAGGGGUGAAAUCCCAAGGCUCAACCUUGGAACUGCCUUUGAUACUGGGAAUCUUGAGUCCGGGAGAGGUGAGUGGAACUGCGAGUGUAGAGGUGAAAUUCGUAGAUAUUCGCAAGAACACCAGUGGCGAAGGCGGCUCACUGGCCCGGAACUGACGCUGAGGCGCGAAAGCGUGGGGAGCGAACAGG
RNAcentral lists this ribosomal RNA (254 nucleotides) under uncultured bacterium. RNAcentral's name for it is "partial 16S ribosomal RNA". It matches the Rfam family "Bacterial small subunit ribosomal RNA", at positions 524 to 776 of the family's 1533-position model. The record is from RNAcentral.